RNAcentral lists this ribosomal RNA (439 nucleotides) under uncultured bacterium. Its description in RNAcentral is "partial 16S ribosomal RNA". It matches the Rfam family "Bacterial small subunit ribosomal RNA", at positions 339 to 795 of the family's 1533-position model. The record is from RNAcentral.
CUACGGGAUGCUCCAGUGAGGAAUAUUGCACAAUGGGGGGAACCCUGAUGCAGCAACGCCGCGUGGAGGAUGACGCAUUUCGGUGUGUAAACUCCUUUUAUAUGUCAAGAAAAUGACGGUAGCAUAUGAAUAAGCACCCGCUAACUCCGUGCCAGCAGCCGCGGUAAUACGGAGGGUGCAAGCGUUACUCGGAAUCACUGGGCGUAAAGGACGCGUAGGCGGGUUGGAAAGUCAGGUGUGAAAUCCUACAGCUUAACUGUAGAACUGCACUUGAAACUUCUAAUCUAGAGUAUGGGAGGGGGAGAUGGAAUUAGUGGUGUAGGGGUAAAAUCCGUAGAUAUCACUAGGAAUACCUAAAGCGAAGGCGAUCUCCUGGAACAUUACUGACGCUAAGGCGUGAAAGCGUGGGGAGUAAACAGGAUUAGAUACCCGGGUAGUC